UACAGAGGGUGCGAGCGUUGUCCGGAAUCACUGGGCGUAAAGGGCGCGUAGGUGGCGCCGCAAGUCCAUGGUGAAAGCUCGAUGCUCAACAUCGAGUCGGCCACGGAGACUGCGGGGCUCGAGCACUGUAGGGGCAAAUGGAAUUCCGGGUGUAGCGGUGGAAUGCGUAGAGAUCCGGAAGAACACCGGUGGCGAAGGCGGUCUGCUGGGCAGUUGCUGACACUGAGGAGCGAAAGCGUGGGGAGCGAACAGG
This 253-nucleotide ribosomal RNA is filed under the name uncultured bacterium. RNAcentral's name for it is "partial 16S ribosomal RNA". It matches the Rfam family "Bacterial small subunit ribosomal RNA", at positions 524 to 776 of the family's 1533-position model. The record is from RNAcentral.